This 467-nucleotide ribosomal RNA is filed under the name uncultured bacterium. RNAcentral's name for it is "partial 16S ribosomal RNA". It matches the Rfam family "Bacterial small subunit ribosomal RNA", at positions 29 to 507 of the family's 1533-position model. The record is from RNAcentral.
ACGAACGCUGGCGGCGUGCUUAACCCAUGCCAGUCGAACGGAAAGGCCCUGCUUUUGUGGGGUGCUCGAGUGGCGAACGGGUGAGUAACACGUGAGUAACCUGCCCUUGACUUUGGGAUAACUUCAGGAAACUGGGGCUAAUACCGGAUAGGAGCUCCUGCUGCAUGGUGGGGGUUGGAAAGUUUCGGCGGUUGGGGAUGGACUCGCGGCUUAUCAGCUUGUUGGUGGGGUAGUGGCUUACCAAGGCUUUGACGGGUAGCCGGCCUGAGAGGGUGACCGGCCACAUUGGGACUGAGAUACGGCCCAGACUCCUACGGGAGGCAGCAGUGGGGAAUAUUUCACAAUGGGCGGAAGCCUGAUGCAGCAACGCCGCGUGCGGGAUGACGGCCUUCGGGUUGUAAACCGCUUUCGCCUGUGACGAAGCGUGAGUGACGGUAAUGGGUAAAGAAGCACCGGCUAACUACGUG